Ciona intestinalis (vase tunicate) is the source of this 314-nucleotide non-coding RNA. Lineage: Eukaryota; Metazoa; Chordata; Ascidiacea; Phlebobranchia; Cionidae. The record is from RefSeq and is a predicted model, not a curated record.
UUGGUUUUUAGUGAAGCACACCUGAGACCUGGGGUGUAGGCUUAUUGGGGCAAGGUUGUUUUAUUCUAUGUGGGUGAGCUCUUUAGUGAGGUACACCUAAGACCUGGGGUGUAGGCUUAUUGGGGCAAGGUUGUUUUAUUCUAUGAGGGUGAGGUCUUCAGUGAGGUACACCUGAGACCUGGGGUGUAGGCCUAUUGGUCCCAGUCUAUAUUGUUCUAUGAGGGUUAGGUCUUCAGUGAGGCACACCUGAGACCUGGGGUGUAGGCCUAUUGGUCCCAGUCUAUACUGUUCUAUGAGGGUUAGGUCUUCAGUGA